GAUGAACGCUGACAGAAUGCUUAACACAUGCAAGUCAACUUGAACUUCGGUUUGGGUGGCGGACGGGUGAGUAACGCGUAAAGAACUUGCCUCACAGUUAGGGACAACAUUUGGAAACGAAUGCUAAUACCUGAUAUUAUGAUUUUAGGGCAUCCUAGAAUUAUGAAAGCUAUAUGCGCUGUGAGAGAGCUUUGCGUCCCAUUAGCUAGUUGGAGAGGUAACGGCUCACCAAGGCGAUGAUGGGUAGCCGGCCUGAGAGGGUGAACGGCCACAAGGGGACUGAGACACGGCCCUUACUCCUACGGGAGGCAGCAGUGGGGAAUAUUGGACAAGGGACCAAGAGUCUGAUCCAGCAAUUCUGUGUGCACGAUGAAGUUUUUCGGAAUGUAAAGUGCUUUCAGUUGGGAAGAAAAAAAUGACGAUACCAACAGAAGAAGAGACGGCUAAAUACGUG
Molecule: ribosomal RNA, 454 nt
Filed under: uncultured bacterium
Lineage: Bacteria
Description: partial 16S ribosomal RNA
Rfam family: Bacterial small subunit ribosomal RNA
Source: RNAcentral